Molecule: non-coding RNA, 32 nt
Filed under: Mus musculus (house mouse)
Lineage: Eukaryota; Metazoa; Chordata; Mammalia; Rodentia; Muridae
Source: RNAcentral
UGUUACUCGUGAAAUUCUACUAAAUACAAAGA